Prionailurus viverrinus (fishing cat) is the source of this 942-nucleotide long non-coding RNA. RefSeq lists it as uncharacterized. NCBI's taxonomy places the organism in Eukaryota, Metazoa, Chordata, Mammalia, Carnivora, Felidae. The transcript has 4 exons. The record is from RefSeq and is a predicted model, not a curated record.
ACAUUGGAGUGCUUCACAAACCUGUAAGUGCUGCUAUCCAGUCACUGGUACAGACACAAAUAAAGAUAAAUCUUCUCGAAGGAAAUUAACUGAAGCCAGCGGGCCAUUAGCUAACCAUUCUGGAACACUUCACUGUGGUCAUACAGAGAGAGAACUGAAAGAUGGACAAUUAAGAUCUGGCAACAUGCAAAAGGUUUCCUCUGCACCAGAUGUAAACGGCACCGGCAUUUUUACCAGAAAGAAAGCUGCUUUAAAAACUGGCAAAAACAAGCAAUGAAAAGAGAUAACGUUUAAAUGACUUAGCACACUUAUUGGGGGACUUGUUUGUAUGUUUCUCUGAAUUCCAACCUUUAGUGAAAUGUUCUCAUCCAUUUUUAGUGAGGAAAACUUGAAUGAUUUGCUUCAGCAGAACUCAUCUCUACAGCAGUCAUUAUUGCUUGAAUUCACAGGGGCAACAGUCUGAAUCCCAACUCCCACCGGAUGAUAUAGAGGCCUGCAUGUACAGCAGGUGGCAUUACAGGAGAAGAAACCUGAGUUUGGGGCACCCACAUGUUACAUGGGCAGUAAUUUUGCCUGACUUUUGCCUUCGAGGGAAACAUUAUCUACAAGGCUGUAAGCAAAUCUACCCUUUGCUUCAGAGGAAACACUCUACUCUCUCUGUCUUCCAAGAGUGCUCACUAUACAGUCAUCUUUGAAAGGACAGUCUGGAACAAGAUGUGCAGAAACAUGAGAGACCCGCGGAGAAGUUUCCGAUGAGUAUUGCACUCUGUCAGCUACCUACCGAGCGUAUAAACCACCAGGUUCUACCUUAGUGGGGCUGUGAAACACACAAAGCUAUGGCUGUAGCAGGCUGGCUUGAGGGACGAAUGCCGGGGUGAGUGCUACCAGAGAGAAGGCCAAGUGCAGCAGGAGGAGGAGAGAGCAAAGAGAAGUCUCACCUGG